RNAcentral lists this ribosomal RNA (435 nucleotides) under uncultured Flavobacterium sp. Its description in RNAcentral is "bacterial SSU rRNA". It matches the Rfam family "Bacterial small subunit ribosomal RNA", at positions 358 to 790 of the family's 1533-position model. The record is from RNAcentral. Lineage: Bacteria; Pseudomonadati; Bacteroidota; Flavobacteriia; Flavobacteriales; Flavobacteriaceae.
GGAAUAUUGGACAAUGGGCGCAAGCCUGAUCCAGCCAUGCCGCGUGCAGGAUGACGGUCCUAUGGAUUGUAAACUGCUUUUGCACAGGAAGAAACAACGCUACGUGUAGCGUCUUGACGGUACUGUGAGAAUAAGGAUCGGCUAACUCCGUGCCAGCAGCCGCGGUAAUACGGAGGAUCCAAGCGUUAUCCGGAAUCAUUGGGUUUAAAGGGUCCGUAGGCGGUUUAGUAAGUCAGUGGUGAAAGCCCAUCGCUCAACGGUGGAACGGCCAUUGAUACUGCUAAACUUGAAUUAUUAGGAAGUAACUAGAAUAUGUAGUGUAGCGGUGAAAUGCUUAGAGAUUACAUGGAAUACCAAUUGCGAAGGCAGGUUACUACUAAUGGAUUGACGCUGAUGGACGAAAGCGUGGGUAGCGAACAGGAUUAGAUACCCGGG